GCUCGUAUGGUCUAGCGGUCGAGGACGUCGGCUUUUCACGUCGAAGGACACGGGUUCGAAUCCCGUUACGAGUACCA
RNAcentral lists this transfer RNA (77 nucleotides) under compost metagenome. Its description in RNAcentral is "tRNA-Glu". It matches the Rfam family "tRNA". Rfam says of the family: Transfer RNA (tRNA) molecules are approximately 80 nucleotides in length. Their secondary structure includes four short double-helical elements and three loops (D, anti-codon, and T loops). The record is from RNAcentral.